Molecule: ribosomal RNA, 540 nt
Filed under: uncultured bacterium
Lineage: Bacteria
Description: bacterial SSU rRNA
Rfam family: Bacterial small subunit ribosomal RNA
Source: RNAcentral
CCUUACCUGGCCUUGACAUACUAAGAACUUUCCAGAGAUGGAUUGGUGCCUUCGGGAACUUAGAUACAGGUGCUGCAUGGCUGUCGUCAGCUCGUGUCGUGAGGUGUUGGGUUAAGUCCGCAACGAGCGCAACCCUUUUCCUUAUUUGCCAGCGGGUCAUGCCGGGAACUUUAAGGAUACUGCCAGUGACAAACUGGAGGAAGGCGGGGACGACGUCAAGUCAUCAUGGCCCUUACGGCCAGGGCUACACACGUGCUACAAUGGUCGGUACAAAGGGUUGUUACCUCGCGAGAGGAUGCUAAUCUCAAAAAGCCGAUCGUAGUCCGGAUCGCAGUCUGCAACUCGACUGCGUGAAGUCGGAAUCGCUAGUAAUCGCGGAUCAGAAUGCCGCGGUGAAUACGUUCCCGGGCCUUGUACACACCGCCCGUCACACCAUGGGAGUUUGUUGCACCAGAAGUAGGUAGUCUAACCGCAAGGAGGACGCUUACCACGGUGUGGCCGAUGACUGGGGUGAAGUCGUAACAAGGUAAGCGUAGAUGA